UUAUACACCUACGUGACGUGAGCAUUCAAUAAUCAUCCUACACAUAUGCUGAUGUGAGCAUUCAAAAUCAUUAGAAUGAUUUAAUUGAAGACUCAACGUACGGACGUCUUUUUCACUUAGAUUCCCUUCCCGUACAAACUUGCAUCAGUUCCUCCACGACCCCAUCAAUCUCUUCAUCCUCUUUCUUGUUCAUGUUGUCUCUUAUUUUCAAUGCCUUUUUUCUCACUCCCUCUCCAAUUUUCUCCACAAAAACAUCUCUAAUCACCUUUGCGACCUCUUCUCUUUGCAAACUUCCUUCACCUGUUCUCUUAACCUCAACACCAACACCCACCUCCUCCACUAGUCUAGCGUUGAUCGGCUGGUCAAGAUGCAUAGGCAUGGCUAUAAUUGGAACACCAAACUUGAUGCUCUCCAACACUGAGUUCCAUCCGCAGUGACUCACAAACCCCCCAACACUAGAAUGCUGCAGUAUCUUUGCCUGUGGGGCCCAACCCUCCAUUAUCACUCCCUUCUCUCCCACCCUCUGUAAAAACCCUUCUGGUAACACCUCUUCAACCCUAGUAUUUUUCUCCUCCUUAGAAAAUCUUAUAACCCAAAUGAAGCUCACUUUGCUAAGCUCUAAUCCGUGAGCUAUCUCUUCUAUUUGCUCCUUGGACAGAAAGUACUCACUGCCAAAGCAUACAUACACUACAGAAGACCUUUCCAUUUUGUUCAGCCAUUUCAUGAUCCAUGUUUCCUCAUCAACUUUUUGAUCCACUGGCUCUUGAACAAGCGUGCCAACAGGCACGAUCUUUUUCCCCAUUAAAUCAGAGAGAUAAUCAAUAUAUUUUUCUUCAAUCCCCCUGGAUGUCUUUACCAAAAUGAUGUUACAAGAUCGAGCACUGCAUUGCUGAACACGGUCUCCAUCUUUGAUGCCAUUUGCUGAAGAUUCCAACACGUUGUUGAACUUUUCAGCUUCGUAAUCUUGAAGAUAAAUCGAAGGAAAAGGAAACUUGACACUAGGGUUCUUGAGAUGUUGAAUACUAAAUGAAGUAAAGGCAGCACCCAUGGUGAUGAAUUCGAUGGAUGGAAAAUUUUGCAAUGAAGCUAGAGAGGGCGCCCAUGGUUGAAGAAAAUCAUAUAUGAGCAAAUCUGGGCUUAGGGUUUUGAGGAUGUUGGAGAAGUUGUUGCUGGACAUAUCAAAGGCCCUUUUGAGAGUGGACAUGAGAUGGGGAGGGAGGCCAUUGGUGGUAUGGUAGUGAGGUGGGAGUUCAGGCAAGUCAUCAUGUGGAAGAUGGAGUUCCACAAAUUCAAUGCAAUGAGAAUAUUUUUGGGAGAGUUUAGGCUUGAUGGAGCUGAGAUUUACAGGCGUGGAACAAAUAAAGAUGUGAAAAUUUCUCUUGGUGGUCAGCUUCUUGGCUAGCUCUAGGUAGGGAGAUAUAUGGCCGUGAGCUAGCCAUGGAAGCAUAAGAAUAGUAAGUUUUCUUUGGUCAGAGUAAACCAUAUUUUGUUUUCCUUUCACUCUUUUGCUUGAGGUUGCUCGAUUAUAGGCUUAUUGGUAGUUUUUUUGUAGCUAGCUCUAUGCAUAUAUAUAUAUAUAUACACACACAUUCAUGGGAAAAGAGGCUUGGGGAUGGGAAAUCAAUUGAUUUCCUAUGUUUGGUAAAGUUCGGGUAUGAGAAAUCGUUGCUUUGCACAUGAGAAAGUAGAGGGGAAAGUGAAGCCCUCCUCCUUCCUUAGGUUUUGUUUUCCUCCUCAUGGGAAAGUUUGGGAAAAUGAGCUAAUAUUAAAUACAUAUUUUUCAUGACCAUAUUAUCCCCAUUAAUAAUUUAGAAUUACAUAAAUGCAUUCUAUUUUUAUUUGAUUUCAUAUGGGUAUAAUUGAAAAAUUAAACAAAUUUUGUUUUACAUUCCUACACAAACCAAACAUGUGAAAGGAAAUAAAGUGGUAUUUCUUGGUUACUUUCCCAAGAUUACCAAACAUAGGAAAGGAAUCUCUAUUUCCCAUCCCUUAGAAAAUGACUUGGAAAGUAAUUUCUCCUCAAAUUCGUUCCGUGAACCAAACGGAACCUGCAUAAUAGAAGUUCCAAAAAAACACGUGAUGAUUGGAUCAUGCAUAUGUAAGUUCCCGAGUGAUGAUUGGAACAAGUUCCUAAUGAUAAAGACUCGAAACAAGAAUAGUUUAAACUUUCUUCUUUGUUUGGCUUGAUAUAAGACGAAUGCACCAAACAAACCGACUAAUUGCUGGCACAAUAUAAAUUGGGGCUACAAUUACCUAAUAAUUAGGUACUAAGGGCUACAAUUACCUAAUAAUAUCAACUUUCAUUAUACAGAUUUGAGAAACAAAAAGUUCAACUUUGAUGACAAGCGAUAUUAAAGGAGGGCGUAAUCAAACUUAGGAUCUUGAGUGUAGAAAUAAAUACUUUUAACAACUUGAGCUACAAGCCUUUUGUAAUAUUAAUGAUAUUUUAAUUAUACGUUUGAAUAGUUCGCUUCCUUCUCUUUUAUUUUCAUUUGUUUAUAUUUAACUCUAAUUUUAUUUAUAUUUUUGGUCAAGGUAAAAAGACUUUGAAUCUCUCUCCAAUGAUUUUCACAGCCGAAACUCCUUUAGUUUCCACAAAUAUUUUUUAAUAUUUCAUGCAUUUGUAAGUUUCCGACUCGGAUGGUUCAUGUAACCAAGAAGUUUAAACUUGUUUUUGCUUGUUCCGCCGACGAAAGCGCAACAAAAGGACAAACUACAACCAAUACUUCUAGUAUCACCAGUUCUCAUUGAAUUUGUUGCCGUGAAUGUUUAGGAUUCUGCCCAAACUAGUAUUUGCGUUUCUGAAUUGUUUGAAAACACAUAUGAAAUUAUGAUUUCUCCUCCCCAGAAGACAAAUUGACGAAGAAGUAUCAUGAUUUUGAUGACACAAAUUAGAAUCCAGGGUUUUCGAAGUGCCUAAUGGACAACUAUUAAUUUAGAAAUAUAUAUAUUUUUUUCGCAAUGCAGAAACACAUAAAUCCCAAGUUUGAAUUCAUCCUAUUUUUGUUUUUGUUUUUUCCUUUUUUAACCCAGAAGAAAAAUUGAGUGCCACUCUGCUAUGUAGAAUGCAAGUUUUAGUUUAGAUUUUUUUUUCUUUUUAGUCUCUUAUUCUACAUUUAGAUCUCAUAUAUUUACUCGCAUUUUAUUAAAUCUAAGUCAUUCAAACAAUCUGACCACUUAACAAAUUACAAGUACUCAAACUUAAAAUCAGAUUGGAUGGACAUGAGGCUUACACUGAUGAUUCUACACGUGCUGAGAAUAGUCCUUUUAUUUCUUUAUUAUUUUCUUGGUCGGGACUCGAGAGACAGGUGUAGUGUAGCGAUGGAGACGAGGCCCGCAAGACAUAAAAGUCUGAAGAAGAGAAGCGUGAAAGCUUCAUUUAGACAGUUAAGUGCAUACGUAACGUAAAGAUUCAAAGACUAUGUCCCUCUCCAAACAGGGAAAGAUCUGAGUUGAAAGCAACAAACUACAGUCACAAUAGGAAAGCAUCUACAACGUAAAGAAAAUAAGUUUACCAGAAGCAUCGGAAAGAUCUAGAGUCUGAAGAAGAGAUACUGAAGUAAUUGUUCAUCGACUGAGCUUAAAUGAAAUAUUAACUCUUUGUUGUGCCAUAAGCACAAGAUCUUAAGAAAAAAAUUCAAGAUAAACCAUAUAAUAUUUUCUAACCCACAAAAUAAUAUAGAAAAUAAAUGCAAGAACAAGAGAAUAGCAAGACACAACGAGGCUGCUUACAAUCAGUGUAAAUGAGCAAACAAAUUCACCAUCAACAAAUUAGCAUGCUUAUGAAGUGUUUUGCAACCUCACAAACCAAGGCGCCAUAUACACCAAAUGACUCUCACUGAAAAACUAAACAAAGAAACACACUCACACUAAUGAAAGCAACGUUACAAGGUAGGAGAUUGAAUAUUACAUUUACAAUACACUCAUAAGUUACAAAAACUAAUUACAAAUAUUUAGCGCAUAGGUUACAUAGAACUGAAAGGGUGGAAUGAUAAGAGCUAUGGUGGUCAUCCACCAACUCAUGCAUUUACAACACCGCCUCUUGAAUGUCCACCAUACAAUACAAUGAUAUAGUUGCGUCAUUAAACACUUUGCUUGAAAAACUAUAUGGGACAAAACUUAGGCUACGGGAAAAAGAGUGCAACACAAAUAAUAUUGAUAUCACAUUUGUCUCUCCUACGGAAUGAGCUUUGGUGAUGUUUGUAUAAAAAUUGCGUACAAACCAUUAUUGGAAGAUUGGGCUAGAGUGGGCUUUACCCUAGUGUUGACUUUGGAAAGAGACAAAUUAGGCUUAGUUGUGUAAAUUCAAUCCAAAAAAAAAUUAAAUAAUAGCCCACAUCUACAGCCAAAUACUUUAAUACUUUAAUUACUAAAGUUUUUUUUUCUUUCUCUCUCUUCUUUGGUUUAUUCAGCUUUUGAUUUGGCUCAAAUAAUGUUUAUAUCUCUCUUUGAUUUUGUUUUUUCAAAUUUAUUGAUGUUGCUUCUUUUGAAAAUUUUGAAAUAUGGACCCUCCCUAACUAAACCACUCCAUUGAGCAAAAGCCCUUGAGCUUCAAAUUUAUCUUCGUCUGAGCCUCUGAAUUUUGGUUUUUUUUAGGUUUUUUUUGUUUGUUGUAGGUUUCUUUGUUCACAUAUCUCUCUAAAAAUAGUAUUUUUCUUAAUGAAUUCUGAAAAUAGUUUUUAAUUUGAAGGAAAUAUACGGAAUUAGUAAAAAAGUAUACCACUUUCAUUAAUCUGAAGGAAAUAUUGCUUUAUAUAUAUUUGUUUAAAAAUAGGGCUUAUAAUUGAUCUCAAAAAAAAAAAAAAAACAAAUAGCCCACCCCUGUAAAUAUUCCUUAGUCCGCCAUUGCAUGGCAUAAUAUUUGGUAUGCUAUGCUAGCAUCUCAUAAGCUCUUCAAGAGACCUGAAUUUUAUGAUAACUUCUUAAAAAAUUUGAAUACAUUUCAACGAUAUUAAACUUGAAUUUGAACUCAUAAUUCAAUCAAAGUACUCAUUGAGGCAAUUUAGAUCAUUUUCAUUUUAAAAAAAUUGGGUGCACACAUUGAGCUUCAUGCUCUUUACCUUCUUAGAGAUUUUAUUUGAGGAAUUUAUAUUGCAUCACAUAUUACAUCUCUUAGGAUUUGUUCUUAUUAUGUAUUCUUUAAGAGAUCUAUUCUUGCAAUAUGCUUCAAACACUUCAUAAUCUUUAUGAAUUUUUCAUGUAGAUUUAAGGUCUCCAUGAAUAUUGAGAUUGAAACAAGGAGUAAAAGAGUUAAAAGUUUAAGAAAUUUUUUCCCUGAUUAUUUUGUAAUUAUAAUGUUGGUGAAAAUCCAAUUUCCUUUCUAGAAUUUGUGAAAUUUGUUAUUUGGCUAAGCUAAAAGUAUAAUUUUGACAAUAAAAAGCAUAUGAAAGUUUCUCUUUGGUUGGCUUCUUGGCUAGCUCUAGGAACGGACAGUGUGGCCAUGAGAUAACCAUGGAAGUAUAAUAAGAAUGCUUGGAUGCUGUGAACAAUCCAUUUUCUGACUCUUUUUCUUGAGGUGGUUGUUUUCUUAUGGCCCAUCAGAGUUUAUGGUCGACAGAUAAGCUUCAAACACAUGCAUUGGUCGUGUCAGUUGCGAUAAACUCUUCCCAACAAUCAACAAUUUCUAAGGUAAUAUCAUCAUUCAAUCAUGUGCUGAAUUUAGAAUUGUUUUCAAAUCAAGGAUUUGUUUUGGAACUCAGAUUUUAAAACAAUUAAAAUUUAAUUGGGAAGACUUUUUGUUUAAAGGAAGUUCGUUUCAAUUCAAAAAAUAAUUUUUCAGUUUUUCAACUCAAAAGUCUUCUCAGUUUUCUUAUUUUUCUUAUUGGCGAGUUUCUUGGUUAACUCUAGGAAGGGAGAUAUGUGGCCAUGAGCUAACCAUGGAAGCAUAAGAACGCUGACCAUGCUUGGAUUUUGAGAAGACUUCCUCUUUUUUUUUUCCCUGACUCUUCUUCUUGAGGCGGUGGUUGGCUUAUGGCCUCAUAAUAGUUUGGUGUUUUUGGAGAUCAUAUGGUGAUGAUCUGAUGGAGAUGAGUCAUAGUUUGUGCUAGUGCAUACGUAAUUCCAAUUUCCUGAUUCAGAUGGGAUAAACUCUUCCAACAAAUUAAGACUCUUAUCAUGCAUACACAUAAGAAGUGGAAAUUUGCUUCUGUCUUAGUUUGGCCUUGAUAUAGGACAGCUCAUAGGAAAGCAUCCAAAACAAUAUUCUUUUUAUUUUUUUUAUUUGAAUACAAGCGAUAUUAGGAGUGUGGGGAUUUGAACACAUGAUUUAGGGUACAGGGUAAUGCUCUUAACUAUAUGAGUUACAAGUCCCUUGCAAACAGUCUGAAAUACUAAAAAUAAAAAAUAGAUGCUCAUCCAUAUGCACUGUCAUGCCCCAACCCUUGGAUUUACAAAACCUUGUGUUAAGACGUGAUUCACACCUUAAUUAUAGAAUUUAAUAAAAACUAUAACUAAAAUGUGAAGAAAACAUUUAAAUAAAUAAAAUAAAUAUUUCACAUAGAAUAUUCAGUGGAAAUGACAACAUGUGAAAUCUUAAAAAUUUUACAUUAUCUUACAAGUUGGCGUGACUUGUGGAUAUUGACUUACUUUCCUUACACACCAAGAAUUCCUAUUAUAAUUGUAAUUGAUUUACUUUAAUUCAUGAUUUCCUACUGUAAAUAGAUUUAAGAAUUUAUUAUUUACUUGCCCAUUCAGGUUUCGUUGUAUUAUAAAUAUGACCUCCUACAAGGAGAAGAACAUACAGAAAAUUCCCACAAACAAAUAUUCUCUCAUAGUUUUCAUAUUUUAGCAUGGUAUCAGAGCGGCAAUCUUGGAAUUGCUGACUCUAGUUUCAAACCCCCGCCGCCGCUAUGGGGGUUGAUGAUUUUUUCAACCAUCAUGGAGGUAGCACCAUCGACUCCUUCUCUCAUUCUCAACUAACCAUCGUUGAGUUGAGUGCCCAGAUGGCUCCGCUCCUACAGAUGCAGACUUUGACCCCAAACCCGAUCCAGAAUCAGGAUCUUCUUUCGACAACCACGACCCCGAUCUCGACUAUGACAACGACGACCCCGACCCCUACUCUGAAGAUGACCCCGACCCCCACUCCGAUGACCCCAACCCCGAAUUUGUCUCUGAUUCAGAACCCGAUCCCGAUUUCGACUCCGACUCCGGCCUCGACUCAGGCUCAGAUUUCGAUCCAAAUUCCUACUCAACUUAUAUCCUAUGCAUCUUCCGCUGCACAGAUUAUGACUUCUAGACUAACGACCCCGACAUAUGGACCAGAUUGCACAUAUUGUGGUGAUCCGAGACACACUUGUGAGACUUGUUUUAAAUCGCAUGGCUACCCCGAUUGGUGGGCUAUUCUUACAGAUCAAGGACAAUGCACCAGUAAUGGUACUGGUUAUGGAUUCCAUACUUCCGAUAAGAUUGAUUCCAGGAGCUGGAUAAUUGAUUCUGGUGCAACUGAUCAUAUGACGUUUGAUCCUGAUGAUUUUCUGAAUACUACACAACCUCGACGAACUUGUAUUGCAAAUGCCAAUGGUGUUACUUAUCCUGUGACAGGGGCUGGCACUGUUGCACUCUCAUCCUCUCUCACACUGUCUAAUACUUUACUUGUUCCAUUUUUAUCCACUAAAUUGUUGUUAGUUAGUCAGCUUACUAAACAAUUGAAGUGUUGUGUACUCAUUUACCUGAGUUUUUGUUUGCUUCAGGAUAUUCACACUAAGGAGAUUCUUGGUCGUGGUACUAAGAGAGGGGGGCUAUAUUAUGUCGAUGACUUCAGUUCCGGCGUGCCUAACAGUGUGACACAUCCCUUUGAUAGCAAACAAAAGCAAAUUUGGUUGUGGCACCUUCGAUUGGGACAUCCGUCUUUCAGUUAUAUGAAGCAUCUUAUACCAGAUUUAUUCUUAGGUUUCAAGGACUCCGACUUCACAUGUGAUACUUGUAUUUUGGCUAACAGUCACCGUGUGCCCUACCUGUUGAGUACGAACAAGUGUACUUGUAAGAUCCCACAUCAACCAACGGAGAGGGGGUGAUGUGCCUUAUAUAUGCACACCUGCAUCCAUCUAGCACGAGGCCUUUUGGGAGCUCACUGGCUUCGGAGUCGUAGGAACUCCGAAGUUAAGCGAGUUGGGGGCUAGAGCAAUCCCAGGAUGGGUGAUCCACUGGGAAGUUGCUCGUGAGCUCCUAGAAACAAAACCGUGAGGGCAGAGAGAGGGGCCCAAAGCGGACAAUAUCGUGCUACGGCGGAGUUGAUCCCGAGAUGUGACAAUUUGGUAUCAGAGCCACUCUGCCGUGUGGUGCGAAUGUGCCGACGAGGACUUCGGGCCCUUAAGGGGGGUGGAUUGUAAGAUCCCACAUCAACCAACGGAGAGGGGGUGAUGUGCCUUAUAUAUGCACACCUGCAUCCAUCUAGCAUGAGACCUUUUGGGAGCUCACUGGCUUCGGAGUUGUAGGAACUCCGACGUUAAGCGAGUUGGGGGCUAGAGCAAUCCCAGGAUGGGUGACCCACUGGGAAGUUGCUCGUGAGUUCCCAGAAACAAAACCGUGAGGGCCAGAGAGGGGGGCCCAAAGCUGAUAAUAUCGUGCUACGGCGGAGCCGAUCCCGGGAUGUGACAAUUGUACUACUCCAUUUACGUUAAUUCACUCUGAUGUCUUGGGACCUUCGCCUAUCACUGCUCCUUCUGGUGUUCGAUGGUUUGUCACAUUCAUCGAUGAUUGUAUACAGAUGACAUGGCUUUAUUUGCUGAAGAAUAAAAACGAAGUGUUUUCCCGUUUUCAGUCCUUCCACAAACAGAUGAAAACUCAGUUUAAUGCUCAAAUCCAGAUUCUUCGCUCAGACAAUGGUGGAGAAUUUGUCAAUCAUGACUUUCAGACUUACUUCCAACAACAUGGAAUUAUCCAUGAGACGACUUGUCCUCAGACACCACAACAAAAUUGUGUUGUUGAACGAAAGAAUUGACAUCUUCUUGAAACCGCCCAAGCACUUCUGAUUGGCGCUCAUGUUCCUCGCUAUCACUGGGAUGAUGCUAUUGUCACCGCAGUUCACCUGAUCAACCGCAUGCCUUCUGGUGUAUUGACCUUUAAAACUCCCUUACAGGUGCUUGCGCAACACAGACCUCUGCUCUCUGUUUUGGUACUCACACCCCGAAUCUUUGGAUGUGUGGCUUUCGUUCAUCUCCACAAAAAUCAACGUAGCAAACUUGAUCCCUGUGCGCUUCGUUGUGUUUUUAUAGGUUAUGCCACUCAUCAGAAAGGCUACCGUUGUUAUCACCCUCCUACCCAACGAACCUAUGUCACUUUGGAUGUGACCUUUCUGGAAUCUGAGUUGUUCUUCCAUGACCCAUCAUCCAAUUCUACGCAUCAGGGGGGGAUACGAAGUGAAGAGCAGAAUUGAAGCAACUUGGGAAAUAAAGAAAUUUUCCUCUGUACAGAAAUGAUUAAUCAUCCUGAGUCUGGAGCACGAGAUUACUCUCUGUCGAAAAGCAACCAAUCGCCCAUUCAUAGCGAUCAAUUGCCUCACCUACCUGAUCCAUGUGAAGAUAUUUUUGAUCCGAGUCUCACACCUACAGACAAUACAGAACAACAAGAUGAAGACUCCCCCUCUAACUCAACAGUACCAACAGACCAAUCUCCUGAGAAUAUCCUUGAGGUAACUACUCCUACUAGAUUUGUGCAUUUAAAUGAUUAAACUAUUGGAUAUCAAUUACCUUUCAGGGAAAAUCGUGGGAAGCCAUCAAACCGUUAUGCACCUGAUAUUGGCAAGACAUCCAAGUAUCCAAUUGCAAAUCAUGUAUCCACUGAGAAGCUGUCUGAACAACUCAAGGCUUUUGUGCAUCAGUUGUCUGCGAUCCAUAUUCCAACCAAGGUCUCUGAAGCAUUAAAAUAUCCUAAGUGGGUCCAAGCUAUAAAAGAGGAGAUGAAAGCUCUUGAGAAAAAUCAGACUUGGACAUUAGAGACUAUACCUCGAGGAAAAAAGACUAUCAGAUGUAGAUGGGUGUUUACUAUAAAACACAAUGUAGAUGGAUCUAUCGAGCAAUACAAGGCAAGACUUGUGGAAAAAGGGUACACACAGACAUAUGGUAUAGACUAUGAAGAAACCUUUGCUCCAGUUGCAAAGUCAAACACCAUCAGAGUCUUAUUGUCCCUUGCAGCUAAUUUGGAUUGGCCACUACACCAGUUUGAUGUAAAGAAUGCUUUUCUACAUGGCGUACUCACGGAGGAGGUGUACAUUUACAUUCCUCCUGGAUAUAAUACUACUUAGACUGGAACAGUUUGCAGGUUACGAAAAGCAUUGUAUGGAUUGAAACAGUCACCACGUGCAUGGUUUGGACAGUUCACCAUGGCAAUGAAGAACAAUGGUUCAAACAGUGCAACUCAGAUCAUACUCUACUCUUGAAACAUCGAAAAGGGAAGGUAACAACAUUAAUAAUCUAUGUUGAUGAUAUGAUUAUUACUGGGAAUGAUAAACAGGAAAUAUCACAGCUACAAGACUAUCUGGCUACGGAGUUUGAGAUGAUGGAUCUAGGUGGACUCAAGUAUUUCUUGGGAAUUGAGGUGGCUCGAUCCCAGCAAGGCAUAUUUCUCUCUCAAAGGAAAUAUGUCUUGGACUUGUUGACAGACACAUGAAUGCUAGAUUGUAAACCUGCGAACACUCAUAUUGUUCAGAAUCAUCAUCUUGGAGAAUAUCAUGAUCAAGUUCCAACUAACAAAGAAAGAUACCAAAGGUUAGUAGGAAGAUUGAUCUAUUUGUCACAUACUUGACCAAACAUUACUUAUGCAAUGAGCGUUGUCAGUCAAUUUAUGCACUCUCCAAGUGAAGACCACACGAAUGCAGUUCUUCGGAUACUUAGAUAUUUGAAGUCUGCACCUGAAAAAGGACUUAUUUUCUGAAAGCAUGGUCAUAUAAAUAUUGAUGGUUAUUCAGAUGUAAUGUAACAGAUAGAAAAUCCACAUCCGGUUACUUAACAUUCAUGGGAGGUAAUUUGGUGACAUGGAGGAGCAAGAAACAGAAUGUAGUAGCUUUAUCCAGUGCAGAAGCCGAGUUCAGAGGCAUGACUAAAGGAAUUUGUGAACUUCUUUGGUUAAGAAAGUUGCUUACUGAACUUGGGUAUAAACCUACAUCCACAAUGAUUCUCUUUUGUGACAACAAGGCUGUUAUAGCCAUUGCACAGAAUCCGGUUCAGCAUGAUCGUACUAAACAUGUUGAGGAGGAUCGACACUUCAUCAAACAGAAGCUUGAGGCUAAAAUGUUUCAGUUUUCUUUUGUGAAAUCCGAGGAUCAAUUGGCGGAUAUUUUGACAAAGGUGAUUUCCAGUAAAACAUUCCACAAUUCACUGGAUCAGUUAGGCAUUGGCGAUAUCUAUGCACCAACGUGAGGGGAAGUGUUGGCGUGACUUGUGGAUAUUGACUUACUUUCCUUACACACCAAGAAUUCCUAUUAUAAUUGUAAUUGAUUUACUUUAAUUCCUGAUUUCCUAUUGUAAAUAGAUUUAGGAAUUUAUUAUUUACUUGCCCAUUCAGGUUUCGUUGUAUUAUAAAUAUGACCUCCUACAAGGAGAAUAACAUACAGAAAAUUCCCACAAACAAAUAUUCUCUUAUAGUUUUCAUAUUUUAGCAAGAACUACUCGAGAGUUUACUAAAAGAGUAGUUCAGUAUUCAUCCACAAGCUAUAUACACAAUACACUCUAUAGAUAUGCCAAAAUCAUCGCAAGCUCUAGAUUUUAGGUUCGAUACCUGCAAAAUCUAUUAGAAGGGUGAGUGAAACCACAGUUUAGUAGGGACAUAAACCUUUUCACGGUAAACUGAUAUAAUUAAAUUAAGUGAAAAAUAAUCACACAGCCAAAUAUCACAUUAUUAAUAACAAUGCAUGAAUGCUCUUCAUUUAACCCGUUAAUUCAUAUAAUUAGACAAGCUUCACGACCCAUACCAUGCUUAUACCACUUAGUCCCGAAUGCCAAUUUAUAUGAAUUAACGCCCAUUUCAAUCAUCCCAUAAUUCCCAUUUUGUUAGUCAUCUUGUCUAACUCCCUGUUGCCAGUCCUGAAUCACCAAAAAAAAAAAACCAUGUGCACUAUGGGAUCCCUGAGUACUAGUACCUGGCAAGAGUUAGACUCAACUACACAAAAGAUCAUUUCUAUUACCCUCUUAUCCACCAUUAUUUUCUCAACUUCAGAAUUCUAGCCAAAUUCCAUGACAUGAUAUAAUUAAAAUUAUGCCUUCACAACAAUGUGCCCAUUUAAAACAUCACUAAUGCACAUAUAAUUAUGCCCACAUUGUUCAAAUAGUUAAGAGUACGUAAAUACCCAAUACAUGGAACGUCAAUCAAACAGUACCACGCAUAAUAUAAUGCUCAAGAAAUUUAAUUAAAUCAAUCUCUGUAAAAGGCCCCUAAGAAACCCCUGCCUUGAUACUAAAGCUUUUGCUAGACCUAUAAGGUGUUUUCCAAUUUUCCACCGCAUUCACAAACUCUGUCUUCUACUUUUUUUCUUACUUCUCUCUACCACUAUUUCUUUCUCGUUUUCUUUGUUUUCACUUGUUGUGCAACUUAAUGUCCUAUAUAUAUACAAGGAACAAGUCGGCAGUAAGUGAUUUCCUAUUGGAUGGUGUAUUCGGUUGUUAUAAACUUACUAGUAAUAGUUAUCAAUGUAGUUGCAGAUGAGGAAGAAUGUUUUUGUGACUCUUCCAAUCCCUCUAAUCCUAUUUCUUAUCUUCUUGGUGAGUUGAUAGCCUCGAUACUUAACAGAUUUUAUACUUUGACACGUAUUAACAAGAACUAUUUUAAAAACAUAUACAUAUAUAUAUAUAUAAUAGAAUAUGUAUAUAUGUAAUACACAUAUUUAUAUAUAAUAAGAAUAAUAUAUAUGUAAUAAGAUAUAAAUAUUUAUUAGAACAGUAUAUAAAAUAAUAUAUAUCAUUCUUAUUAUAACAAUAAUUUUAAUUUUCCCAAAAUAAUAUAUAUUUAAAAAUAUGUGGUUUCACAUGCAUGUCCUUUUUGCUAUAGACACUAUUACAAAAAUCGAAAUAGACAACGGAAAACUACCGUCGUCUGGAAAGUUUUCAAACAGUCGUGAAAUCGACUGUCGUCUCUUUUACAUAAAACAACGACGGCUAUUAACCAACGUCGUUAAUACAUUCCACGUAAAAAACUAUUAUAAACCGACGUGUAAUUACUAUAUAUAUAGCCUAAAAUAAAAUCUUCAACAACCUUAGACGACGGUUUUAUUAAAACUGACACGUCUAAAGAGUGUUACAUGUCAAGAUCAAAACAAGAACCGACGUACAGAUAAUUAUCCACGUCCUAAUUGAAGUAAAAUAGACUUGGAUAACCUAGAAACCGUCGUGGUUAACAUAUACUACGUUAAAUUAACAAAGGCACUUACGUCUAAAAAGUAAAAGACAACACGCGCACAAAGCAACAGACGUUUAAAGCUUAGUACAUGUCAAUAGCCGCUCAAUAACCGCAGUAAAAUGAAUUAACCACGUCCCACAUAUGGCAGAACUGUUGCUUAUGUGAUUAUCCACGUCGCGGAGUAGUAGAACAAAGACGUUGUAACCAUAUUCCACGUCUGUUUCUUGUGAGAAUUGUCGUUUAAAUUAUACAAAGAAGCCCCUUUGACAGAGUUAGACGUUGCUCUUGCUGUAGAACCGACUUCUAACAGGUUUAAAAUGACACAAUAUUACUUAAUACUGCCGUAACAAAUCAUAUCCACGACUGCUGUUGUCAAAGACUGACGUUACAAAAAAUAUUGAAGGUGUUGACAAAAAAGAACCGACAUGGAUUAUGCAUUCAACGUCGUGUGGUCUAAAAAUAAAGGACGUGGUUAAUUUUUUCUCUACGUCAAGUGGAUCCAAUUGCCUGAUGUUGUAAUUCUUUACCAUGUUGGUUUUUAAUACAUGAUGAUGUGGUUGUCCUUUUAAAAGUCGCUUGUUUUACCCUCCUUGACGUGUGUAUGAUAUGAGACGUCAAUUGUUUUAGACUAGCUGACGUGCAGAAAAUCUGUCACGACAAUUAAUGCAACUGAAUUGCCUCUAUUUCCCCCAGACGACGGUAGGUUUUAAGUGUGGAAGUAGUGUUUUACAAAAUCGUAAGUUGGAGUAAUCUACCAUCGUGUUAUUCGAGAAUAUACCACGAUCUUUGUUUUGUACUCGGUCGCUGAUGUUUAUACUACUUAAUAAACUGACAUGUUUUCAGUUUCAGACGGCGGCUUUUGUUUCUUUAUGGUCUUUUGCAUUUUUUUUCCAUGACAUUUUUGAAAGCCUAAUGUUGGUUUUAUUUUAGAAAUCGAUUUUUCCCCUUUUUUUACUGGACCGUCGUACUUUACACAUUUAAUCAAUUUUUUUCAAUUUUUGAUUCAUCGUGCCCAAAGCCUACAUAACGAAAAUGUGAUCAGAAUUAAAAUGAUGUACAAAGGUAUUAAUUAAUGUCAUACAAUUAACUGAAUAACUAAUGUCAUACACUACAACAAUCAAUCAAUCCAUAUAUCUUCACACCCAUCUUUAAUAUUUUCACUCCCAAACUCACCCACUAGGUCAUCAUAUGUGUCAACAUUUGGUAUCCCUCUAGUAAAUGUCUCACACUCAAUUCUAAUAUCACCUAGCACAUCAUCACCAAUAACAUUAUUAUAUUCUCUAUUAUGCAUUGAUAACACUACCGACCAACCACGAUGCAUUGGGUCGUCAGCAUAAAAUACUUGUUUUGGUCAUUCCUAUGUCCAAUUUUACUCAAAUCUACAAAGGUGAAUCCAAGUUCAUCGACAACAAGGCCCAAAGUGUUAUCUAUCCAAUCACACCUCAAGACAAGGAUUCUAAACUUUUGGUAGUCAAGGUCCCAAAUUUCUUGAAUAACACCAUAAAAACCCAUAUUGGAGACAAUAGAGUUUUUAUCCUUAGCACUAGCAACUUGCAUAGUAUGUGCAAGUAAAUAAACUCCACUAUUUUGGACAGUUCGCAUAUCAUCUUGUGCCUUGGUGUUAAAUUUAACACCAUUAAUAAGAUAGCUCCUAUAUGAUGGCAUUGCCAUGCUUGGACUAGCUGCUAGCCACCUCAAAUUUUAUGAUACGCCAUUAUGCUCUUCCCCAUUAAGUUCACUUUGAACUUGCAAAUUAAUCGUAUAUAUCCUAAUUCGAUCUAACAUAUAAAAAGGAAGAAAAUUAAAAGUUGAAUAUGUCAUUCAAUAACAUAUAUACUUGAAAGUGUAGCCAUUGAAUGAAAGUGCUAUUGUGCUUAUCUUGCAGCCACUUUGUUCUCUUUCUAAAUAUUGGAUAAGUGGUCUUGAUGUGGAUCAUAUGUUCCAUACAUUGACACGAAAAAAUCAAGCAUUACGGUCCCUUGUAUAUAAGAUAACAUAAGGAAUAAUAAUAUUUAAAAUGGCUCUAUAUGAAAAAUGGAACUCAUGCGUACUCGAUAUAAGGUAGGACUUCCUCAGUAUUCUCCAAGACAUAUAGAUGUGUCUGGUUCAAAAAACCCGAUCACCUAAGCUUACUGUGCAACCAGAUAAUGGCUUUGAAACUCCCAUCUUCUAGCUUGAAGGCACUCCAACUGUACUAACAUCAGAUAAAUGCUCGGUGCAAAACUCUACAACUUCUUCAGCUAUAUACCGCUCAAUAAUGCAACAUCCGGGACGAGUACGGUUCUGAACAAACCUAUUUAGCACUUUCAUAUGUCUUUCAAAUGGAUACAUCCAUCUAAAAUAUACUGGCCCAUGUAGACGAACUUCUCUGACAAGAUGUACUACUAGAUGAACCAUGAUAUCAAAGAAUGAAGGGGGAAAGUACUUCUCAAGCAAACGCAACGUAACUACUACAUCUUCUUCCAAAUUAUCUAGCUUGGAAACAUCUACUGUCUUUGCACAUAUAGCAUUGAAGAAGAAGCACAAUCGAGUUAUUGCAUACCUUGCAGGCUUCUCCAAACAGAACGAAUUGCCACAGGGAGCAAUUGUUGCAUCAAGGCAUGAAAAUUAUGAGAUUUAAGGCCAAGAAGUCUUGAAUAUUUUUAAGAUACAAGAUUUUUUUAUAUUUGAACAAUAACCUUCAGGGACUUUCAUACCAUAGAAAGAAUUGCAAACCGCUCUCUUAUCUGCUCUUGACAAAUUCUAGGGCCUUGGAGGCAAGCGAGUACGUCUUUCUCAAUACUCGGGUUGCAAAUCAUUUUUGACCCCCAUGUUCAAUAAAUCUAACCGAACAGCAAUCUCAUCUUUAUUUUUUCUAGGGAUCUCCAGCAAUGUACCAAUGAUACUAUCGCAAACAUUCUUCUCAAUAUGCAUAACAUCUUGGACAUGCCUCAUAGGAAGGUAUUUCAAAUACUCGAGAUCAAAGAAUUUUGAUUUCUUAUUCCAACAAACUCUGUCACCAUCAUUCUCAAAAACACUUCCCCCAUUUUUCGAGCCCCAUAUGUAAUUAAUAUCUUCAACCAUGUCCUAUUCAAGUUAAUGGUUCGGGAGGCGUGCCAUAUUCAAGUUUUCCAUUGAAAGCUGCACGCUACCUCCGACAUGGAUGAUUGAUUGGUAACCAUUUUUUAUGACCAAUGUAACAAAUUUUGGGGCCAUUUUCAACCUGUGACUAGGUGUAUCAUCGCCGCAUAUUGGACAAGCUUUAUAUCCUUUAACGACACUGUAACACCCCGACUCUAAAUUAAUCCCUUAUUUAAUUAUUUAAAGAAAAUUACAAAUUUACCCUUAAGAUAGGGGUAUUUUGGUCAUUUUCUUACCCGAAGAGAGUUUGGGGCAGUGACUAGUAUUUUUGGAUAGGUCGUACUGAGACGAGUUCAUAGACACGUAGUGGGCUCGAAUCGAAGUUGUAACGAGAGAGAUAUGGUCAAAAGAAACCCAAUUGCACAAUCAUAAUUAUUUCGAAAUGAGAUUUUUAUAAAAAUCAGAUUUUUUUUUCUCUCUCUCUCUCUCUCCUCGUCGGUCUCUCUCCCUCUCCUCGAAACUCCGGCCAUCGGCCACGGCUGUGGACGGGGCCGGUACCAAAAUGACCGAGGCGUUGUCCUCCUCUAAUCCCAGCUAGGUCCCGCCGUCAGCCGCCAUGGUUUCGCCGGAAAAUGGAGAAGAAGCGGCCGGCGUCGUCCGAAGUUCUCCGCCGUUGAUCUCCCUCUUCCGGUCACCGAUUCCGACGAGUGAGGUAUGGUUUCUCACCUACUUUUCAUGCUCUAGCUGCCUGCUGGGUAUGAUUGGAUUGAUUUUUAGCGUAGGCAAUUCGAUUUUCGCAUUGAAAUUCGGCUAAUUUUGGAAUCACGAUUCCGGCUAGUUCUGGUCAGUUUUUGGGGUAGAUCCAAGAACAAAAGUGGCUCCAAAUAGGGUGUUAUACCUAGGGUAGGAGUUUGGAGCCAUGGUUUUGAGAUUUUCCGGCGAUACGUAAUCGCUUUAGACACCCAACGCUGCCCGCACGUGUGGCAGUGCGUGGGCGAGGGUAGUGAAAUAGCACUAUGUCUCGAUGAGAUCCUUAGGUUGUCACGAGUGCGUAGGAUUUCGCGGAUCUCAAUUCGGACGUCGUUUGACUAUCGAACGGAUUUUCGUAUAUUGCGCGUCAUCCGGGUUCGAUAGGUUGGGACCGUUGGAUGGUCUCGAAUAAAAUAUAUGUUAAUCUAGGUAUUUCUAGGAUCAUGUAGGAAUUCACGGAUUAUAAAUCGGAGCCCCGGAUAUUCCGAAUAAAUAAUUUAAAGUUUAUGUUUUAUAAUAACCGUCACAUCGUGCGAUCGUGAGCGAUCCGACCGGCCGAUCUGGACCAAACUUACAGAACGAGUGUCCUAUACCUUGAAGAACCCAUAGGAAUUUUCAGAUCGAAAUUUGGAGGUCGUGGGCCCCGUGGGCCCAUUUGACUAGGGGUAGGGUAGUUUGACCCUUAGUUGACCGUGAGUCUCCCGGAGUAAUCUCACCUUUCCAGGGGGAUUAUCGGGUGCUAGACUGUUGUUGAGGUUUACACGAUAUUAGUAGUAAAUUAUAUAUUUAUAUACAUUUGUAAAGGUAAAAAAUAAGUCCAGAAUGUCAGUUUGAAGUGCUUUACGCACUACCUUAGGUACCUCCCCGGAUUUUAGUUACACUACAAGUACCACCCUAUGAAAGUUAGGUCCCACGUGGCGUAGGUUAUCCGGCGUGCGGACAGGCCCUAUACGUGGCAUUGGUAGUAUCGGUGUAUGGGGAGAUUACGUGAUAAUAUGUUGAGGUCACACGUGGCGUAGGUUAUCCGGCGUGUUGACAGACCCCAUACGUGGCGUUGGUUGUACCGGCGUAUGAGGAGAUAUUGUGAUAUGAUAUUCAGGUCUCGCGUGGCGUAGGUUAUCCAGCGUUGAGACAGACCCCAUACGUGGCGUUGGUUCUACCGGCGUAUAAGGAGUUUAUGUGAUAUUAUGUUGAAGUCGCGCGUGGCGUAGGUUAUCCGGUGUGUCGACAGACCCCAUACGUGGUGUUGGUUGUACCGGCGUAUGGGGAGAUAUGUGAUAUGAUGUGCAGGUCUCGCGUGGCGUAGGUUAUCCGGCGUUGAGACAGACCCCAUAUGUGGCGUUAGUUGUACCGGCGUAUGGGAAGAUAUUGUGAUAUGAUAUUCAGGUCUCGGGUGGCGUAGGUUAUCCGGCGUGUUGACAGGCCCCAUACGUGGCGUUGGUAGUACCGGUAUAUGGGGAGAUUAUGUGAAAUACAGAGAAAUGAAAUAAGGUAUUGCCUAUGUGUGGAAUUGGGUUUUAAGGAAGAACUACGUGUGGCUUGAUCCCUCAGGGAGGGUACGUAGGCAGCCUAAGGUUAUUAGGUGUAGCCGCGGACAUAGACGUGAUUGUGUUAGGAGGUUAAAACCUCGUAUGUUGAAAUUGAGAAAAUUAGAUGAUGUAUGUUGAAAUUUAGUAGUCGUAAUUUAUAUUUAAAUUUAUCGUUUGCCUUGUUUAAGGCAUGAAUUGAUUUGCUAGCAUGCUUGGUAGUUGAGAAUUAUAGAAAGGCCGAAGGCCGUUUAUGUGAAUUGCAUGGAAUUAUAUUGUGCAUGCUGCCAGUUGUAGUUAUUAAAUGUGUUUUUAUGCAGGUUGAAAUUUUGGGAAAUGUCCAAUUUACAGGGGAGACUCUGCCGAAAUUUCGGCAGAAAGUCUCGGUCUUUAGUAAGUGGGCCUGACAUCGAGGUGAUGUCGGGGAAUCCACAGGAUCCGCCUCGAUUUUUGGAAAAAUCGGGGCGGUUCCUUUCAGACACAACCAGAUAAGUUCUCAUAGGCAGAAAAAUCAUUAAUUGUUCACAGUAAUACACCUAUGAGUGUAAAGUAAUCUCCUAUGUGUGCAUCAUACACUCCUUUAAUCCCAUCCCACAAAGAUUUUAAAUCAUCAAUCAGAGGCUCUAAGUAGACAUCUAUAUCAUUUCCAUUCUAUUUAGGACCAGAAAUCAAUAAGGUCAAUAUCAUGAACUUCCAUUUCAUGCAUAGCCAUGGUGGGAGAUUAUAUGUAACUAAGAUAACCAACAAUUGUAUCUGCUACUUAAAGAACUGUGGGGAUUGAAUCCAUCAGAUGAGAGAGCCAAUCUCAAGUUUCUUGGCUCUUUACUGAACUCGGGCCAUUUAUCAUCAACAAGUUUUUAAGACGGGAAAUUCGCUGGAUGAGACAUAUGACCGUCAAUUGCUUUUCUAGCAACAUGCCAAGUCAAACUCUUAGCUGUCAUAUGUGAUUGAAACAUCCUUUUAAACCUUGGAAUUGGAGGAAAAUACCACACCACCUUCGCUGGCACACUCUUUUUCAAGAUUGAAUCUUUGCAUUCCUUCCACCUUGAGAUACCACAAGUAGGACAAUUAGUUGAAUCUUCAUAAUCAUUCCUAUACAAGAUGCAGUCAUUGGGACAUGCAUGGAUAUUCUCAUAACUCAUCCCUAAAGGAGAUAAUGUCUUUUUUGCCUCGUACAUAGAGGAAUAUAGUGUCUUUCCUUCUGGAAGCAAAUCUCCUUGAAGUAUCAAUAAUUCUAUAAAACAAACAUCACUCAUCCCAUGUUUUGCUUUCAAAUUAUAUAACUUCACCAAAGCCGACAACAUCGUGUACUUACUGCAACCAGGGUACAAGGAUUGAUCUCAAUCCCCAAUCACAUUGGCAAACUCAUAAGGAUCAAAUCCAAUAUCGCCUAAAUCAUUAUCAUCCAUCCCUACUUCUUUAGAAACAAAACUGAACCUACUUUGCUCAUCUUCUUCCACAUUUCUACUAGCAUUAGUAGUCAAUUCCCAAGGUUCUCCGUGCCAUGUGCAAAUCUGAUAGCUUUAGUCAAUUCCAUUAAAGUAUAAGUGGUCCCUCAUAAUUCCAACCCCAAACAAUCGAAUAUUCCCACAUUUAACACAUGGACAACGAAUAUGAGUUGUAUUUCCAAGAUUUUCUACAGCAAAAUUCAAAAAUCCUUCCACCCCUAACUCAUAUGCCUUCGGUCUUCUAUCCGCAUGCAUCCAUGACUUAUCCAUCUCACACACUAUAAAAUCAUAUAUAUAAUAAAGUGAAAAGACCAGCAAUGAAACACUACUUUAUUCACAUAGCAAAGAAUGAAUUGAAAAAAAAAAUUAACCAAGAAUCAGACGACGGUUUUUACAAAAAAAAUCGUCCUGUAACAGAGGGUCAGACGACGGCAUAUCUAGUUAUCGACGUCUUUAAGCUACCCAAACCCAGAUAUUUGUAUUGCUUUUUGAAGAACCGGGUUCUGGGUUCUGGUAAACAAAAGAUGACGGUAAAUGGAGAAACACCGACGUAUCCUAAAACUUGAGACGACGGUUUAUUUCACCAACCGUCGUCGUAGUUUACGAAAAACAGAAGUCUAAAUCUCCCAUCCUCAUUCCUUUUCUAAGAACCCUUAACAAAAUGCAAACAUCAAAAUAUAAAAGAGCCAUAUAUAGCUCCCAAUUAAGAAACCAAAGCUACCAAAACAUAUAUUAAUAAACCAAAGCUACCAAAAUGAACGAAAACAUUUAUGGGUUUUACAAACUAAGAGAAUAUUGAGAGAGAGCUGAGAGAAUAUACUUACAUGGAUAUUGAGAGAGAGCUGAGAGAAUAUAACAAAUGCUUGAGAGAGAGCUUAGAGAAUAUACACAAUGCUUUGAGAGAGAGCGAAAAAUUUAAGACAAAUUUAUGUUGAAGAGAGAGAAGGAAAUAUUUUAGGGUUAAAGGGAAAUUCUGAAAAUUUUAGAUCACCGUCAAAAUUUUCAAAGGACCGCGUUUUUCAAAGACGGCUAAGGAAAACUACCGCCAUUGUAAAUCAUUUUACUACGACGGUUGAGGAAAACUACCGCCAUUGUAAAUCAUUUUUAUGUCGCCUCUAUAAAAACCGACGUCUAAAAUAUUAAAUAAUUAGAUUUGGUUUGCAUUUCGUGGGAUUCUAACGUGCGUAAUUGACCAAAAAGAGCGAGAGAAAACCAGCGUCGUUUCUAUAAAACCUAAACCCUAAACCCUAAACCCUAAACUCUAAAACCUAAACACUGAAAAAAUUAACCAAAAAUUGCUAUGGACUCCUUACAACAAUGCCUUCUAUAUUAGUAGGCUAAAAUCGGGAUUAAAUAAUUUUGAAUUUUAUGACCACCAAUGGAUCACAUAAACCUUAGGGUUAUGUUUAUGGAAAGUAUAAGGAUUAUUGUGUUUUGUCUCUAAAUCUUUUUUACUUUUGUUAUCACUUGUAACUUUGAAAUCUAAAAUUAAAAUUUUCAGGCCUUUAGGGGGGAGAUAUUGUCUCAAUGUGUUUAUAGAAUUUGAGACUGCGAAGGUUCUAGCUGAUUGACUAAGGAUGAGGCAGGAUGGAUGGAAGGUUUGCUUGGAGAUUCUACCUUUGUCAGCUCUUCUGGUUGACAUGUUGUUUAUUCUGCCUGAGGAACUACUUCUAGAUUUUUCCCUUUUCUAGCAGAACUAGUCUCUGGAAGUACUUGUGUGUCAUCCUUAUUCUUGAGGAAGACGCAGUAUUGCCUUUGAACUCUCCUCUUUUGCAUUCUGGUUAGCUUCAGAGUUGGUCUUCGGCUUUUUCCAAUAGAAUAUCAUCUACCUUCUAUGAUAGUUGCAAAGGGCUUGUCAUUUCCAGGCAUCUUAACUGGUAUUUCCUUCUUUGGCUGCUCUAUUAUUCUCUUGUUGCGUUGGGCAGGCCUUAAAUAGUCCUUCUGUCUGGCUCUAUCUCUAGGUGGAGCCGGAACUAGGCCUUGUUGGUAUGAUGUUCCAAUCCUGUCAAAAACACAAGGUGUGGGCUGACUUUGCCUAACCAGAGUUACCUCUAACUCACUUUCACAUUUGCACCUGUUGCACAAAACUACCCCAGCCGAAAUGGUUGCUUUUGGUCUUCAAUUAGCCUAUCUUUGGACUCUUCUGCCUAUGCUGGGGCUAACUUUUGCUGUUAGUUUGCCUUUCUUUUGUUUUGGCCAAUUUAAGUUGACCAUGUUGACUUGAGGUUGGGGAAAAGGGUCUGUUGUUAUCGAAUGAGGUUUCUCAGCCAGUUUUAGCCUCCAUGCUGUUAUUCCUUCCUGUAUGACGUCCCUGAAAACAACACAACUAUUGGUGGAAUGGUCCCAGGAGUUAUGCCAUCUGCAAUACUGUCUGCCCUUGAGUUCCUCUAGCUUGGGCAACUUGUAGGGUGUUUCUAUUGCCUUCUGUCGCAGCAUGUCAUCAAACAGGGCAUCAACCUUGGUUAAAUCGAGGGAAUAGACUUUGUUAUGAGCUGGUUUGUUUGGAACAAACCCUCUUGUGAAUGGUGGUGGCUUUUGGUCCUUUGGUGGCUUUGUUAAAGCCUUGCAACUGAUGAGAUGUUUUAAUUUCCCCAUUUCUGCCACUGCAACUUCUCUCUCCUCCGAGCUUUCUAUGCCUUCUUCUGAUUCUACCUCAACAAGAUUUACUGAAGAGGAUGGGGUUUUGUAAUAUGUGCCUUUGAAAGAGUUCCUCUUCUAUUGUUCUUCCCUGAGCAGCUCCUUGUAUUUAGAUGCUUUGUCUGCUAGUUCUGCCAGAUCUCCAAACAGCAUCCCAUCAAAUUUUUUUCUCAGAGAGAUUUUAAGGGAGAUUUGAGCCAUUUGGAUGAAGUGCCCUUCCUCCAUAGGGAUUCAAAAUUUCAUUUUGAGCUUUUUGAACCUGGUUAUGAAGUCUUGGGCAGGCUCAUCUUCCCUCUAUUUCCAGGUUUGAGGGCAGCAAGAUCACUGAUGGUGACUUCUGGCUGAAUCCUAAAAUAGUAGUCAUGGAAGACAUUUUCCAUCUAUUUCCAGGUUUGAACAGAAUUGGCUGGUAAGCUAGUAUAUUAGAUGAAGGCUUGUCCAGAGAGAGAAUUUCGAAAAAGCCUUAGUUUUAACAGAAGGUUAUUUUCUAUGGCUAUGCACUGGAAAGAGAAUCUGCCUAUAUGCUUAACUGAUGAAGCAUGGGUGUCUUCUCCGUUGAACAAGGUGAAGUGUGGUACCUUAAAGCCCAGGGAUAGAGGUAUUUGAUCGAUAUAAGCUGGAUAAGGCUUUCUGUAGGUGGGCCUUUCUCCUCUUCUGGCCUCAGGUUCCAUCAUCUCUCUGAUCAUUCUAUAAAGUGCCCCCAUGUCAUUCAAAGCAUUGACAUGAUGCGGGGUUCGCCCCUGUUCUGGCUAGUUGUGUUCAAUCCUUUGUUCUACUUUAUAUGGCCUGGGCAGAACUUCCUCCCUAUGCUCUUCCUCUUUUUCGAAAUCUGGAUGAUUCCUUUAGUUUGCCCCCGGUCUGUUUUUGUCAUUGUUGGCAAAGGGUUUAACUCCUACUCUACCUCUCAUGCCACUUGCUAGUGGAGGGAAUGGAUUGGGGUCCAUCCUUCUAGGUCUGUAGGGCAACACAACUGGUUGCUCAGGCAGAAGUGCCAAGGCCUGAUCACGUGGGGCCACUAGUUGUGGAAUAGGUGGAGGUUCUGGCUAGUUCUGAGGGGGUCUGAACUGGUGCAGAGCCUUCUGGAUGAACUGAAUCCUCAUGUUCUUGGAUGGGAAGGGCUCCUCCCCUCUGUCCAGCUUGGAUUUCUCCAUGUCCUGGUAUUCCAGCUAUCUGUGUGAUGAGAGGCUUCUCUUCAUAUGGCCAUGCCAGUCCUGGUAGAGGUCCAAAAGGGAGAUCUAGCUGCUGGACCACCAUGUCUAGGUUUGGAAUUUUGGCAAUAGUAGCCUCACGGUCCUUCCUGAACUGCCUGUUGACUUGCCAUUACAUCAUGGUUGUCAUGUUGUUUAGAGUAUCUUGGCUCAUUUGUGCUGUGGCUUCUUGCCGAAACACAGCCUCCUGUAUCUAGUUUAACCUUCUGGAACCAGACAUGGAACGUCUACUCGUGGUACUGCCAUGGGCUGAUUACCUAGCAUCACUUUCUUUUGACUCAAGUCCUUUUCGGAGAGCUGCUUGAUCUCUUUUCAUGGCAUAGCGUGGAUUCUGGCUAGAACUUCCAAUAUUCAUAUACUAGAGGAUUUUUCUAGAAAUAUAUGUAUUGAGAAGUCCCACUGGGCGUGCCAAAUUGUUCAUCCGUUUUAGAUUUGUUCCUGUGAUGGUAGGGUAAAGUUCCUCAUUGACUUGAAAACCAUUGGUGGUCAAUAAGUCAACUUUCUUUUGUGUACAAAUGUGCCACUGCUAGCAAUAAAAACCCUAGCAGACUUCUUAAAAAUAGAAAACUUGUGCCCAAGUUAUUAACUUCUAAAUAAGCGAUUGUGAAUUUGGGCGAGGAAUAUCUCCCAAGUAAGUUCUUUUCUUUGCCUCAGAUUGGUGAGGACUUCACAAUUUUUCACAGUACAAAACUGGUAGUUCUAGCUAGAAUAAAUGAUAAGAAAGUGAACUGUUUUCAGGCAGAACUACCUUUUACAAAGCUUAAAAAGGAAGACCAACUCUAAAAAGACAAAAAGAGCUUUUGGACUUCAAUUUCUGCUUGGAUAAAUGCUUCUGAUCCGGGCUGGACUGGGUAUGUUUGUGCUGGACUGGACUAUCAACACCUUCAACUGUCAAGUUUUAGCUGUCAAUGAAUACCAAUGUUCGAGUGUGGCAAAGCUUCAAUCUAUUUCAAGCCGUGCAAGGCUUUUUGAACGGACAGAAUUGGAACCUCUUCAGUCUGGAAGGGGUAGAAGUGGCUGAAUUUGGUGAUUACUGAGCUGGAACUGCACUGUAGUACCUGUUCUGCUUGAUCAGGGCUCUCCAUAAAUUUGUUGAGGUUUUAAUAUUGGUAAAACCCGAAGCUUAUGUUGAACCAACUUUGUAACGAGAGAAAUCUUGCUUUGAAUGACUAUUUCUCUGAAACUAAACAGAAGUUAGAGAUUCUGGAAUAUAGCUGACUUGUUUCUUAUGGCUCAAUGAGCUUUUGGUUGCUUCAGUGUUUUGAAGGCUUUUGAGAUCAAGUGAUCAUUUUGAGUUUUUAUUUUUGAUUGAUUUUUUGGCUGUCCUUUUAUCUGUUCACCUCAUCUCAUAUUUAUAGAAUAUACUGGAGUGUGAUUUCUAAUCUUUUAAUAAUGGGCGGCAAAUCUUUUAAAAGAUCUUUUUUUCUUUUUUCAAUGUCAUAAGAGAAGGAAGCUACUAUUCUGACAGAGAAAGGUUGUCAACAAUCAUCUUUCAAUUUUUCUAUGUUCACUUUUUGUUCUUUGUAAAGAGAAAGAACACAAUCUACCAUGAUGGUCAGUGUGCUUUUCCUGUUGAACAACUCCCUCGUUCUCUACUUAUCUCUUGAAAACGUAGUCUGCUUAUCUCUUGGAAAGACCACCUGAUUUGGUGCAGAGCUUCUCUAUAUAUAUAUAUAUAUAAAGGGAUUUUGAUCUUCUUCUUUUGGCUGAAAAAAUAGAGAAGUCUUUCUGUAAGACCUGCCUUCAUUAAUUUUCUAUCAACUUCUCUGUAAUAGUUGAAAAUUUUGACUUUUCAAAGCCAGGUAUUCACGUGGGGUUGUUUAGAAAAGAUCUGUUGAUUUUGUCAAUCUUUUAGGGUAGAGAUUAAAUAGCGUAAAAAGGCUGGGCUAGUCUCUUUUUCUUAGUAGAUAAAAAGCCCAAAUAUUUUGUCUCACUGCCCUUUUCUGGAAAAUAAAUGGGCUGGGUGUGUUGGAAAUUGGCCCAAUCUUAAGAAAGACUCUGGUGGCUGCCCAAAAUUGACAUAGGCUUUUCUUGAUUUUGGGCUGGGCAUGCCAAAUUAGGCCCAAACAAUGCCCCUUAAGUCUGAAUUGUUUUUGGAAUAGUUUCAGACUUAAUGAUUUGGCCAUUAAUUUGUGCGCGCCAUUUCCUUCUGUUAGCCCACAUCUGCCACGUCUGCCUAUUAUGAUCAAGACUUCGUGGGAAAGUGGGCAGUUACUAGCUAGUUAUUAUCAGGUGGCGUCUUGUCUUCUUCUUCCCACGAUUUCGAGUCUUUCUAAGAAAUUUAAAAAGACCUCAGCUCCUGUUUACUCAAAACCUAACUUCUUCAGACCUUGAUUUUCCUCAGUUUUCUCAGAAUUUUUACCCUUUUCUGCGAUCAAACCCUGCUUCCUUUCAGUUUGAUUCCCCUAUCCUAGCUCAAAACCCGAAAAUGUCUUCUCCAAAAAAUCGUGCCCAGACUUCUUCUUAUUCUGUUCCUCCUACCUACAUUACUGGGGCCGGUGUUGAUAAGCAUGUGAUUGAAGUCCGGAGCAAGCUUCAUCCUUUUGCCCAGAACGUUCUGGACAAGAACGUGUUACAUUUGUUCGAGAACACUCUUGUUUUGGAGCCUCAUCGGUUUGGUUCUGUCCCGACUGAAAUGGCAGAAUUGUUUAAAGAAUAUACUGAAGCUCCUCUAUGCUUUCAGAGCUCUUUCGUAGAUUUCAGUUUUAUAUAUAAACUAUCGUGUUUCUCCCUAUAACAUGUCGUUUUUAAGAAUUGUUGUCAAUGUUUUAUUUCCUGCUACUAUAAGACGGCGAUUAUUUAUACAUAUGAGACGUGUAAAUUAGAAUGAGACGUCAGUCUUUGGGAUUUAAAUUAAGUUUUUACGAUUUAAUGUCAUUUUAGUUCAUAUAAGGACAUAAAUGUCCUAACCAAAAAUAUAUUUAUGUACAUUGUCAAUAAAUUAAAAUAAACCUAAACAUUGUUAAAAUAAAUUAGAUCACUUAUUAUUCUGUAAUUACUUGUUAACGAAUUCAGCCCAUUCCAACCUGACUUCGUCAAUAUGUUCUUAUACAUACUGAACUGGUUCCUUUUUCUUAUCAAACUGCAAAUAAAUAACAAAAACCAACGUGUUAUAAAGAUUACAACGACUGCUUUUAAAGAAAAAGUUGUGGUACUAAAAUAAAGAAUUUAUAUCUUAAGUUUUGCCUUUUACCUUCUUCUCAAAUGCUAGGCCUGGAUCAUGAAUUAUAUCUCUCAUGAAAUGCAUCACGUAAUAGCCACACUCUACAUUUGUUGGUUGUCGAGGAGUGCCAUGUAGAUUUUUCCAUAUGACUGAUUUACAUGAUGAUUAAUUGCCUGUGUGAGAGUUAUACAUUUUGAUUGAACUGUUUCAAGAAAAUGAAAAGUGUUAAUGAUAAAAAUAAAAAUCUAAAGCAAAAAUAUUAAACGUCGUGGUAAAUAAGUGAAGACGAUGGUUUUGUUAAAAAAGUGAUGUUGUAUUUCAUUUCAAACGUUGGUAAAUAAAAACCGUCGUUGUGUAGAAUUCUAACGUCGGUGACGAUGAAAAAUGACGUAUAACCAAAAAUUGUUUGUAAAUGAAAGUUGAACAGAAAAAAAUAAAACUUCCUUAAAUGAAAAACACAAACGACGUGGUAUUUCAAUUAAAAUGACGGUUUACAGAAAAUACUGACGUUGUAAAUGAUUUCAAACAUCGGUUUGAAGUUACCAUCGUGUUUUCAUUGUAACGUCGGUAUUAGAAAAAGCCGUAUAUCAUUCAAAUGCAAAUAAAAAAAUGUUAGAUUUUCAUAGAUAAACUUACAUAUUCACUAUAUUUCUCAUGUCCUCGUCAACAACGCGGUUUGGCAAUGAAUCCAUGUAAUAGAUAGUCUCCUUCGCUGGUCUCACAAUUAUUAACACCCAAUGACCCCUACACAUAAUGAUCCAUAUAGGUUAAAUAUACUAGAAAGAAAAAUAGGCAUCAAGUAUAGUUAAGGGGACUAACCUUGGAUUACAAGGCACCAUGUAAAAUUGAUCCCCAUUUGCGUUUUUCAGGCGGUCUGAGAGAUGUUUCAAACGGUAAGAUAACGUUCCAGAUUGAGAGCUGACUUGUCCAAGGUCCACGAAGCCAAUAAGGUUUACCAUAUUUUCUAUUUUUAAAUAGUCAAAUAGGCACCUAAAUAUAUGAAAUUCAAUUAAAUGAGAUUUUAACUUUAAAGAAAGGAAAUGUAUAAUGCAAUCACUGUGGAUCCAAUCUCAACCAUGGAAGGAAAUUGUAAAAUAUCUUCACACAAGAGGAAGGUAUCAUGGUUAAUGCCAAAGGCUUCCUCUGGAAUGUGAAUUCUAAUGGUCUCGUUAAUGGGCUUCAACUUGGUCUCGACAAAUUGAAAUAAGGCUAACAGAGGAGGUGGCAUGUCUAGCUUUGAGAGAUCCUGUUACAACAAAUAAAUAAAGAAAUAUAAGUUAGUUUGUACACUAAGUAAAAUAAACGACUCUAACUAAACCAAUCAAACCGACGUGGUAUAUAAUAUAAUCGACAGUUUCUAGAACAUACUGAAGGAGUAAAGGUUAUAGACGACGGUAAAGACAUAACCAUCGUUAUGUAAAUGUUCUAACGUCGCUGCAUUAUGGAAAGGUCGUCUAAUUAAAAUGCAGUGAAGCCUUUAUUGAAAUACACGACAGUUUAUAAAAUAAACACCGACGUAGUAAAAUACUGAGACGACGGUUAUCAGCAACGUCUAUUUGAAAUUAUAAAUCAGAAAAAAUCAAAUAUCAAAGAUUUUACCGUUUCAUCUUGCCAUUGUUUAGCAACAUCAGCAUCAUUCGUGGGAUUUUCUUCCUCCAAAACAAGGGGUCUCACAUUAGAGCAGCUUGCUUUGUCAGACAUUAGAUUUUUUGGAGUAAUUGGAGUUUUAUUGAGCAAGUUGGGAUCACAGUUGGGAAUUAGUUGACUGAAUUGUUUCAAUAAAAUUUCCCUCUCUGCUCUGACUGCCUCCAAAACAGUUUCUUUUGCCUUAGCUUUAAUCUUUUUGGUUUCUUCUCUCACUGCCUCCAUAACACUUUCCUUCAAUUUGUUAGCAAAUUUUACUCUCUGCUGUCUCGACAAAUUGAAGAAUUGAGUUGGGGAAACCCCAGCUCCAACACCUCUAACUCUCCCACCAUGCUCAGGGGUUCCCAAAGCCAAGGUCAAAAUAUCGUUGCUCUCAGAGACAGCAGAGUGCCCUCGGAAACUUGUUUUUUCAAAUCAUCCUAAAAGUGAGAGAGAGAGAGAGAGAAUGUUAGUGAGUGAACAGAUAGUAAAACAGAUUAAAUAAACAACUAUACAAAAAUAUUAACCGACGUGGUAAAGACUUUAAAAAACUGAAAUCAAUCCCCAAUAGUAACAGGGACCAUGCAGCAACGAUUUGGUUGACAGUAGUAUAGGUUGGAGAUGCUGUUGAUCAUUAGAUACUAUUUUUUUAAAUAUCAAUUCUGUAACAUCCAGACCUAAAAAAUUAAUGAUUUUGAUUUAAAAUUAAAUUUAAAUAAGCAAUUACGAAUUUACCCUUGGGGAAGGGGUAUUUUGGUAUUUUUUUUUUAUUCAGAAAGAGUUUGGGGCAGUGACUAGUAUUUUUGGGUAGAUCGUACUGAGACGAAUCCGUAGACACGCGGUAGGCCUGAAUCGGAGUUGUAACGAAGAAACGGUGACCAAAAUUAGUCCAGUGGCAAACUUGUAAAUAUUUUGAACUUGGGUGUAGAAAAAUCUGAAACUGGCUUCCUCUCUCCUGCGUGCACACGUCCUUCUCUCUCUCUCCUCUCUCUCUCCUCGAUACCAUCACUCUCUGUCUCUCUCUUCGAUUCUCUCAAUUCUGGCCACGGCAAGGGCCGGGACUGGUUCCGAUCAACUCCUCACAAAGCCCCGAACCAGAACCACCACUUUUCUUGGCCGGAAAGCUCGAGUUUCGCGUGGUAAUCUCGACUGGUUUGAACCAGUUUUCCUCCGUCAUUGUGCCGCCGCCAUCGCAGCCCAAUCUCGGUUAAACAAGUGAGGUUUCUUACUCUUUUUCCGAGCUCUAGCUGCCUGUUGGGUAGGAUUGGAUUGAUUUUUUGUCUAGGAUCCCGAUUUUGAAACCUAAGUUUUGACGAAUUUCAAAGUGAAAUUCCGGCCGGUUGCCGUCCUAAUUAGACCUCCCCGUAGUUGAAUAAAGUGAUCCUCGCUUCGAGUAGUAGCUAAGGUAGGAAUGGUGAAUUGCGGUGUGGAGUUUUUCCAUCACUGAAAAUUACUCUACACAUCCACGCGUUGCCAGGGCAUGUGGAGGCGCAUGGGCAAUGUGGUGAGACCACAUUUUAUCCUGAUGUAGUCUCCUAGUCCUCACGUGCGCGUAAGUGUGCUCGAAUUUCAAUUCGAAUGUUGUUUGACUAUCGAACGGAUUUAUGCAUAUUGUUUCUUAUCCGGGUUCAAUAUGUUCGGACCAUUGGAUCGAGUCCAAAUUUACGUAUGUUAAUCUAGGCACCCCUAGGAUCAUGUGCGAAUUCGCGGAUCGUGAAUCGGAGCCCCGAAUGUUCCGAUUCAAUAAUUUGAAGUUUAUGGUUUGCGAUAACCGUCAAUUUCUGACCAAACCUACAGGACGUGUUUCCUAAACCCGUAGUCGGACCUUAGAAUACUCGUUAUGCGUGCACGCACCGGGAACUUGAGAAAAUUAGUAUUUAAUUUGUAAAUUCCGUUUUGAAGUGAUUUUUUAUUAAUUAAGGGUGCGUAUCUCGAAAUAGGUGCUCCAUCACUAGCACGCAGCAGGUAGGACCCUCUUGAGGUCAGGCAGUGUGGGACUACUUGUGAGUGGACAUUUAUUUUAUAUAUGCAUUAUUUUCAAUGAUUGAAAGAAUAUGCAUGAAAUAUAUAUAUUUUUUGGAAUAAAGAUUGAGAAAUUCAUAUGUUGUUAUAUCAGUAUUAUUUAAUUUAGAAUUUGGUUUGAUUUGAUGAUGAGUUAUAUAAAGGUCAAGUUAUUCGUGAUUAAGUCUUGGAUGAAUUUUGGGGGAAUCGGGAAUUGAAUAUUAUGGUUUAUGGUGGGAACUUAUAUGAUUACACUGUGUGGAGUACCAUCCCCUAGUUACUAGGCUUCCCACAUGUGGCGUUGGAAAUUUUCCAGCGUGUGAUGAUGUAGUCUGCACGCAUAGGACUUAGUAUUGGAGCUACACGUGGCGUUGGAAUUUCCGGCAUGUAAGCUAUGGAGUUUCGUCCCCCGGUUGGACCGCUCAUCCCUAGACGCAGGAUAGCAACUGAAAAUCUUGCGGGUUAGCCAAACAAUCCCCCGGUUGGAUUGUUUCCCCGGUACCUAAGUAGUGUGAUAAAUAUUAUGUAUAUUUAUAGAUAUAUAUAUUUCUAUGUGUGUGUGUGUGUGUGUGUGUGUGUGUGUGUGAGUAUAAAUCAGUUAAAGUAUAUGUAGUGGUUGGGUAAGAGCAGUAUAAAUUUUGGGGAUAAAGUUUAUGGAUAGAGUGAUUGAUCUCAAAGGGUUUCGGAGAAUGAUGUUUUUGAUCAUUAAAUAAAAGUUAUGAAUCUGCAUGUCUUGAGCAUUAUUUUUAGACGGUGGGGUUAUUAUGUUGUUUUGAAUGCAAAUUUUGUUUUUCCACUCACAUGUUUUCUGUUUUGCGCCCCCCAAACAGUAGUCGCUCAAGGGAGAGUUGCAAGCCAUGUUCGAGGCCCCGAACUGUGAACAUCAGUAGAUUAGGUUUCGAGUAAUUUCUUUCUACUCAACUGGAUGUUCUUGUAAACUAAAUUCGUUAGAUGCUCUAUUAUUGCCCCUGUUAGGUUUUACUUGUGAGGCCAGAGGCCAUUUAGUUUAUACUGUUGAAUAAUAAAUGCAUGCUGCUGGUUGGGAUUAUAUUGUGCUUAUGCAGGUUGAAAUUUUUGGGAUUGUUCAAUUUACAUGGGAGACUCUAGCAAAAUUUUAGUAGAGAGUCUCGGUUUUUAAUAAGUGGGCCAGGCAUCGGGGUAAUGUCGGAAAUAAGACUGGAUUCGUCCCGGUUUCCGAAGAAUUCGAGGCGGGUCCUGUCAAGUUCCUCCUAUUAACAAUAAUAAAUUAAAUAUUUAUAUAACUGAUAACAGUUCCUCAUAUUAACAAUAAUAAAUUAGUAUUUUGUAUAAUAAACAUGUUUAAUGAAAUUCAUCUUCUUCUAGCAUGUUUAUUUAAAUUCUAAGUUUUCUGAAGAAAAAAAAAAAAAAAAAGGAGAAGGAAAUGUCCUAAAUUAAAUCUUAAAAGUUCAUUUUUUUCUGUCCCUAUAUAUUUUUUACCCAAUUAUAAUUUGAGAAAAAAAGGUGAAUUAACUGUCAUUUCACCUUCAUCAUUUUCAUGAUUUAUAUAAGAUUCUUCAAAGAUCAUUUCCACAAAAAAUUACUUAAAUUCGAAUCCAUUUAACCGUCUAAUUAAAUCGUUAGGACCGUUGAAAUAAAAUUUAAAGUGAGUUUAAAGUGAGUCCUACUAUGUCUCCCUCAAAUAAGAUCAUUUACAGGAUCUGUCGAGUCAUAUGAGAAUGUUUAGCUUUUCGAUCCCAAGAGUUUGGUUCGAUUUUCAUAUAUAUAUAUAUAUAUAUAUAUAUAUAUACAAGUCAAUUUACUUUAAAAAGUUCACCAAAUUUUAUUUUUGGUCUCGGUAGUUUGCUUGAGGGCCUUUUUCUGUCAAUCUAUUUGUUGUGAUUGAAAGAUUUUAUAUAAAACAAAAGAUAUGUUUUUAUCUUAAAAAAUGCUUAUUUUCAGAUCUUUACAUAUAGACAUACAUAUGGCCUGAGAAUUCAAGCAAUAAAGACAUAAGCUGAUGAGCAUUCAUAAUCAUUAGAAUGAGUACUGAAUGGUCAACUCUUUCAAAAUACUUCGGAAAAAAACAAAGGACAAUACUUCCUUCCUUACUCAUAAGAAGGAACUCCUUCUCACCUUCUAUUGUCCCUCAACCACAAAGUAACAAGUGUUCUCUUUUUUUAAUUGUCAAUUUUUUUUUUUUCACUUUUACUGAACCCCUAGCUUUUUACCAAAGCAAAAAACACAAAACAAUAUUCCCAUUGUUUUUUUUUUUCAUUUUGAUUUUUUUCUCAACUUUUUGAAAAAUAACAUUUUUCCUUCUUCAGUAAAAAAUUGAAGUCUUUGUGGUUAAAAGCUAAGGUUUCAGUAAAGGUUUAAAAUAAAUAAAAAGUUUUGACAAUUCAAAAAACAGAACACAUAUCACUUUGUGGUUGAGCCGCAAUAGAAAGUAAGAAAGAAUUCCACCUUACCCAUAAGGAGGGAAGUAUUGUCAAAAAGAAAACAUCUUAAAAAACACACAGAAAACCCACCAUCACUACUUAAAAGAAGUAGAGAAGUCCAACAUUCUGAUUUUUAUACACCUACGUGACGUGAGCAUUCAAUAAUCAUCCUACACAUAUGUUGAUGUGAGCAUUCAAAAUCAUUAGAAUGAUUUAAUUGAAGACUCAACGUACGGACGUCUUUUUCACUUAGAUUCCCUUCCUGUACAAACUUGAAUCAGUUCCUCCACGACCCCAUCAAUCUCUUCAUCCUCUUUCUUGUUCACGUUGUCGCUUAUUUUCAAUGCCUUUUUUCUCACUCCCUCUCCAAAUUUCUCCACAACCACAUCUCUAAUCACCUUUGCGACCUCUUCUCUUUGCAAACUUCCUUCACCUGUUCUCUUAACCUCCACACCAACACCCACCUCCUCCACUAGUCUAGCGUUGAUCGGCUGGUCAAGAUGCAUAGGCAUGGCUAUAAUUGGAACACCAAACUUGAUGCUCUCCAACACUGAGUUCCAUCCGCAGUGACUCACAAACCCCCCAACACUAGAAUGCUGCAGUAUCUUUGCCUGUGGGGCCCAACCCUCCAUUAUCACUCCCUUCUCUCCCACCCUCUGUAAAAACCCUUCUGGUAACACCUCUUCAACCCUAGUACUUCUCUCCUCCUUAGAAAAUCUUAUAACCCAAAUGAAGCUCACUUUGCUAAGCUCUAAUCCGUGAGCUAUCUCUUCUAUUUGCUCCUUGGACAGAAAGUACUCACUGCCAAAGCAAACAUACACAACAGAAGACCUUUCCAUUUUGUUCAGCCAUUUCAUGAUCCAUGUUUCCUCAUCAACUUUUUGAUCCAUUGGCUCUUGAACAAGCGUGCCAACAGGCACGAUCUUCUUCCCCGUUAAAUCAGAGAGAUAAUCAAUAUAUUUUUCUUCAAUCUCGCUGGAUGUCUUGACCAAAAUGAUGUUACAAGAUCGAGCACUGCAUUGCUGAACACGGUCUCCGUCUUUGAUGCCAUUUGCUGAAGAUUCCAACAAAUUGUUGAACUUUUCAGCUUCGUAAUGUUGAAGAUAAAUCGAAGGAAAAGGAAACUUGACACUAGGGUUCUUGAGAUGUUGAAUACUAAAUGAAGUAAAGGCAGCACCCAUGGUGGUGAAUUCAAUGGAUGGAAAAUUUUGCAAUGAAGCUAGAGAGGGCGCCCAUGGUUGAAGAACAUCAUAUAUGAGCAAAUCUGGACUUAGGGUUUUGAGGAUGUUGGAGAAGUUGUUGCUGGACAUGCUGAAAGCCGUUUUGAGAGUGGACAUGAGAUGGGGAGGGAGGCCAUUGGUGGUGUGGUAGUGCGGUGGGAGUUCAGGCAAGUCAUCAUGUGGAAGAUGGAGUUCCACAAAUUCAAUGCAAUGAGAAUAUUUUUGGGAGAGUUUAGGCUUGAUGGAGCUGAGAUUUACAGGCGUGGAACAAAUAAAGAUGUGAAAAUUUCUCUUGGUGGUCAGCUUCUUGGCUAGCUCUAGGUAGGGAGAUAUAUGGCCGUGAGCUAGCCAUGGAAGCAAAAGAAUAGUAAGGCUUCUUUGGUCAGAGAAAACCAUAUUUUGUUUUCCUUUGACUUGUUUUCCUUUGACUCUUUUGCUUGAGGUUGCUCGAUUAUAGGCUUAUUGGUAGUUUGUUUGUGGCUAGCUCUAUGCAUAUAUAUAUAUAUAUAUAUAUAUAUAUAUAUAUAUAUAUACACACACAAAAACGCGUGAUGAUUGGAACAUGCACACGUAAGUUCCAGAGAGUGAUGAUUGGCCUAUGAUAAAGACUCGAAACAAGAAUAGUUUAAAUUUUCUUCUUUGUUUGGCUUGAUAUAAGACGAAUGCACCAAACAAACCGACUAAAUGCCGACACAAUAAUUAGGUACGUAAUAAUAUCAACUUUCAUUAUAUAGAUCUGAGAAACAAAAAGUUGAACUUUGAUGACAAGCGAUAUUAAGGAAGGGCACAAUCGAACUUAGGAUCUCGAAUGUUGAAGUACAUGCUCUUAACAACUUGAGCUAUAAGGUAUUUGUAAUGACAAUUUAUGGUUUUAAUUAUACUUUUGAAUAGUUGCUUCCUUCUCUUUCAUUUUUAUUUUUAUUUGUUUAUAUUUAACUCUAAUUUUAUUUAUAUUUCUGGUCAAGGUAUAAAGACUUUGAAUCUCUCUCCAAUUAUUUUUCACAGCCGAAACUCCUUUAGUUUCCACAAAUCUUUUUAAACAUUUCAGGCAUAUGUAUGUUUCCGAGUCGGAUGGUUCACGUAACCAAGAAAUUUAAACUUGUUUUUGUUUGUUCCUCCGAAGAAAGCACAACAAAAGGACAACCUACAACCAAUACUUCUCAUUGAAUUUGUUGCCGUGAAUGAUUAGGACUCUGCCCAAACUAGUAGUUGCGUUUCUGAAUUGUUUGAAAACACAUAUCAAAUUAUGAUUUCUCCUCCCCGAAAGAAAAAUUGACGUAGAAGUAUCAUGAUCUUGAUGACACAAAUUAGAAUCUAGGGUUUUCGAAGUGCCUAAUGGACAACUACUUAUUUAGAAAUAUAUAUAUUUUUGUGGCUAAAAUUUAAAUUUAUUAUAUAUAUUCUCAAUGCAGAAACACAUAAAUCUAAGUUCGAAUUCAUCCUUUUUUUGUUUUUUUUUUUUUGUUUUUUUAACCCAGAAGAAAAAUUGAGUCCCACUCUGCUGUGUAGAAUGCGCGUUUAGUAUAGAUUUUUUUAUUUUUGAGUCUCUUAUCUGGUUCCCGAGCUUCUACAUUUAGGUCUCGUGUAUUUAUCUGCAUUUUCUUAAAUCUAAAUCACUCAAACAAUCUAACCACUUAACAAAUGACACGUACUCAAACUUAAAAUCAGAAUGGAUGGAGUAGAGGCUUACACCGAUGAUUCUUGGUCAAGACUUGAGAGACAGAUGGAGACGAGGCAUGACAUAAAGUCUGAAGAAGAGAAACGAGGAAGCUUCAUUUAGAUGGUGGUGUAAGUGCAUACGUAAAGUCCAGAUUCAACAGGAAAGCAUCUUAAACGUAAAGAAAAUAAGUUUACCAGAAGCAAAAGAGAUACUGAAGUAAUUGUUUAUCAACUGAACUUAAACGAAAUAUUAACUCUUUGUUGUGCCAUAAGCACAAGAUCUUAUGAAAAAAAAUUCAAGAUAAACCAUAUAAUAUUGGGAGAUUCACGUUUAUACCGAAUAUAGGAAUUCAAAUUAUAAAAUAAAUAAAUAAAUAAAAUAAUCGAUAUGAAAUGGACUUUAGAAACACACACAAAGCCUAUUUACAACAUAACAAAAAGGUUUUUCCCUUCUUUUAAAUUACAAAACUGCCAUUGAUUUCUUAAAACAAACCCAACUCCAAAACCUCAUUAAAAAAGCACAAAACACUCAAUAGGGUGUCAAAGUAAUUUAAUAAUAAAAAAUAAAUUCAAUAAGGCCAAUUGAAUUUUUUGGAUUUUUUUUUGGGUUUGUUUAUAGAAAUUAAUGGUGUAGGGUUUAUCUAUAUUAUUGGUGUUAAGAAUGAAUAAUGACUAAAUAUCUCUAUAAUAUUUUCUAACUCACAAAAUAAUAUAGAAAAUAAAUGCAAGAACAAGAAAAUAGCAAUAUGCAAUUUAACGAAGCUGCUUACAAUCAGUGCAAAUGAGCAAACAAAUUCGCUAUUAAUUUAUGAAGUGUUUUUGUAUUUACAAUACCGCCUCUUGAAUGUCCACCAUACAAUAAUAUAGUUGCAUCAUUAAAAACUUUACUUGAAAAAUCGUUUGGGACAAAACUUAAGCUAAGAGAAAAAGAGUGCAACACAAAUGAUAUUGACAUCACAUAUGUCUCUCCUACAGAGUGAGCUUUGGUGAUGCUUGUAUAAAAAUUGCUUUCACAUCAUUAUUGGGAGAUGUAUGUAUGUCAUCAAUCAUUUGAAUCUUGUUGAGGUUAAAGUAAAACCAAAAAAAUAUCAAGGGCCAUUUUCAUAUAGUUUUUCACAAUAAAAAUUAACAAAAUAACUUCAUGUUCUUUAAUAUCAUCAAAAAAAUAAUAUAAACAAACUCAUAGUUUACCUUUUCAAUGAUAAGUGUUUGGAAAAUUUACAUGGAAUAAUAUUUGGUAUGCUAUGCUAGCAUCUCAUAAGCUCUUCAAGAGACCUAAAUUUUAUGAUAACUUCUUAAAAAAAUUUGAAUACUUUUCAACAAUAUUAAACUUGAAUUCAAACUCAUAAUUCAAUCAAAGUACUCAUUGAGGCAAUUUAGAUCAUUUUCAUUUUAAGAAAAUUGGGUGCAUACAUUGAGCUUCAUGCCCUUUACCUUCUUAGAGAUUUUCUUCGAGCAAUUUAUAUUGCAUGACAGAUUAUAUCUCUUAGAAUUUGUUCUUAUGUAUUCUUCAAGAGAUCUCUUCUUGCAAUAUGCUUCAAACACUUCAUAAUCUUUAUAGAUUUUUCAUGUAGAUUUAAGGUCUCCAUGAAUAUUGAGAUUGAAACAAGGAGUAAAAUAAAAGUUUAAGAAAAAUUUUCCCUGAUUAUUUUGUAAUUAUAAUGUUGGUGAAAACCUAAUUUCCUUUCUGAAAUUUGUGAAAUUUGUUAUUUGGCUAAGCUAAAAGUAUAAUAUUGACAAUAAAACGUAUACGAAAGUUUCUCUUUGGCUGGCUUCUUGGCUGGCUCUAGGAAGGGACAUUGCGGCCAUGAGAUAACCAUAGGAAGCAUAAUAAGAAUGCUUGGAUGCUCUGAACAAUCCAUUUUCUGACUCUUUUUCUUGAGGCGGUUGUUUUCUUAGGCCCAUCAGAGUUUAUGGUCGACAGAUAAGCUUCAAACACAUGCAUUGGUCGUGUCAGUUGCGAUAAACUCUUCCCAACAAUCUGAGACUCACAUCACUCCAAACACAUAAAAAGAAGUGGAAAUUUGCUAUUCUUUGUCUUUGUUUGGACAGCUAAUAGCAAAGCAUUGGAAACAUCGAAAAAAGAAAGUUAAUUAAUUUAAGAAAAACAAAGAAAUCCUUCUUUUUUUUUCUUUUUUUUUUCAGCAAACCGAAACAUAAAAUCCGAAAAAGAAGAAGGCAUGUCCAAAAUUACAUCUUGAAUUUAUUUUGGAGAUUCACUAUUAUACUCAAAUUAUAUAUGAAAUAAAUUUUAGAAACACACAUGACGCCAAUUUACAAUAUAACAAAAAAACUUUUAACUUCUUGUAAAUUACAAAAUUGUUAUCGAUUUCUUAAAACAAGCCUAAUCCUAAAACCUCAUAAAAAAAAAAUCAAAACACUCAAUAAGGCAUCAAAGUAAUUUAAUAAUUAAAAUUAAAUUUAAUAGGGUCAUCUGUCAUUUUUUGGAUUUUUUUCGAAGUUGUUUAUAAAAAUUAAAAUAAUGUAUAGUUUGUUUAUAAAAAUUAAAUGAUGUAGAGUUUCUUUAUAUAAUUAAUGUUAAUAAUGAGUAUAUGAAUAAAUGUCACUUUUCUUUAUUAACCAUUUAUAAUAUAUGAACUCAAGACUUCCUAUCGAACACCGAAUGGUCUUUCCAUUCCUUGUUAAUUCAAAGUCUGAAAAUGUUCGGUGUCAGCUCAUGAAUUUAAAGGCUUAAAGGCUCAAAACUUGAACGAAUAUGAAAGAAAAAAGUCGUUCACCGUUCAUCCUCUUCCUGCAGCUGUGCAUGCUAAUCACCCACUGAAUUAAACAUACAAAUACGCUUUAUGUUUUCUCAAAUUGUUCUUUGAACUAAGUAGAGGUUGGAAUACACUCGGGGUCAACAUUGUUCAAAUACAAAACACUUCUUAAUUUUAUAUUUUAUCAAAACAGAUCGAAACUUCAUUCAAACUGAGAACCUAGAUUACAAAACUACCAGAAAAACUGGAAUCUGCACUGUGGCCUCAUUAAAACCUUGCUUUAAAAAACUCCUAAAAGAGGAGAAUUCAGUCAAGAAAAAAGAGUACCACAGCAAGUGAAAUCCGAUAUCAUACUUCAUUCCUUUCUCAUACAAAGUUGAAUCAACUGCUCUACCACCCCAUCUAUCUCUUCAUCCUCUCUCUUUUUCAUGUUGUCUCUCAAUUCCAUUGCCUUUCUUUUCAAACCCUGUCCAUUUUCUUCCACCACCACAUCUCUGAUUACUUUUGCUAUCUCGUCCCUUUUCAGCCUCCCGUUCUCGUUGCCGCCUCCUCCCAUUCUCUUAACCUCCACACCAACUCCAACGUCCUCUACUAUUCUAGCGUUAAUAGGCUGGUCAAGAUGCAUAGGCAUGGCUACAAUUGGAACGCCAAACUUGAUGCUCUCCAACACUGAGCUCCAUCCACAGU
This 39424-nucleotide long non-coding RNA is filed under the name Prunus persica (peach). RNAcentral's name for it is "long non-coding RNA (PPER_LNC002428)". The record is from RNAcentral. Lineage: Eukaryota; Viridiplantae; Streptophyta; Magnoliopsida; Rosales; Rosaceae.